AGCAGCCGCGGUAAUUCCAGCUCCAAUAGCGUAUAUUAAAGUUGUUGCAGUUAAAAAAGCUCGUAGUUGAAUUUCGGGGUCAGUAGGUUGGUCGUGCCACUGGUAUGCACUGGCCUUACUGAUUCCUCCUUCUUGUAGAACCGUAAUGCCAUUAAUUUGGUGUUGCGGGGAAACAGGACUGUUACUUUGAAAAAAUUAGAGUGUUUAAAGCAGGCUAACGCUUGAAUACAUUAGCAUGGAAUAAUGAAAUAGGACGUUCGAUCCUAUUUUGUUGGUUUCUAGGAUUGACGUAAUGAUUAAUAGGGAUAGUUGGGGGCAUUAGUAUUCAAUUGUCAGAGGUGAAAUUCUUGGAUUUAUUGAAGACUAACUACUGCGAAAGCAUUUGCCAAGGAUGUUUUCAUUAAUCAAGAACGAAAGUUAGGGGAUCGAAGACGAUCAGAUACCGUCGUA
Molecule: ribosomal RNA, 450 nt
Filed under: uncultured Glomeromycotina
Lineage: Eukaryota; Fungi; Glomeromycota
Description: SSU rRNA
Rfam family: Eukaryotic small subunit ribosomal RNA
Source: RNAcentral